UACGUAGGGUCCGAGCGUUGUCCGGAAUUAUUGGGCGUAAAGGGCUUGUAGGCGGUUUGUCGCGUCGGGUGUGAAAACACGGGGCUUAACCCCGUGCCUGCUUCCGAUACGGGCAGACUAGAGGUAUGUAGGGGAGAACGGAAUUCCUGGUGUAGCGGUGAAAUGCGCAGAUAUCAGGAGGAACACCGGUGGCGAAGGCGGUUCUCUGGGCAUUACCUGACGCUGAGGAGCGAAAGUGUGGGGAGCGAACAGG
Molecule: ribosomal RNA, 253 nt
Filed under: uncultured bacterium
Lineage: Bacteria
Description: partial 16S ribosomal RNA
Rfam family: Bacterial small subunit ribosomal RNA
Source: RNAcentral